This 94-nucleotide microRNA precursor is filed under the name Branchiostoma floridae (Florida lancelet). Its description in RNAcentral is "mir-2060 microRNA precursor family". It matches the Rfam family "mir-2060 microRNA precursor family". Lineage: Eukaryota; Metazoa; Chordata; Leptocardii; Amphioxiformes; Branchiostomatidae. The record is from Rfam by way of RNAcentral.
GUAUAUCUGCGUGUGGAUGGUUUUCGAUGCCAGGGACAGGUAUGCUUGACUGCGUGUGGAUGGUGUUCAGCACCAGUGACAGGUAUGUUUGAGU